This is a non-coding RNA of Podarcis lilfordi (Lilford's wall lizard), 72 nucleotides long. The record is from the annotation of a GenBank genome assembly. Lineage: Eukaryota; Metazoa; Chordata; Lepidosauria; Squamata; Lacertidae.
AGUGAUGUAGCUCAGUGGCAGAACAUCUGCUUUGCAUACCAGAGGUCUCAGGUUCAAUUCCUGGUGUUUCCA